AUUGAACGCUGGCGGAAUGCUUUACACAUGCAAGUCGAACGGCAGCACGGGCUUCGGUCUGGUGGCGAGUGGCGAACGGGUGAGUAAUGUAUCGGAACGUGCCCAGUCGUGGGGGAUAACGUAGUGAAAAUUACGCUAAUACCGCAUACGAUCUAUGGAUGAAAGCGGGGGAUCGCAAGACCUCGCGCGAUUGGAGCGGCCGAUAUCAGAUUAGGUAGUUGGUGGGGUAAAGGCCCACCAAGCCAACGGUCUGUAGCUGGUCUGAGAGGAAGACCAACCACACGUGAACGGAAACACGGUCCAGACUCCUACGGGAGGCAGCAGUGGGGAAUUUUGUACAAUGGGCGAAAGCCUGAUCCAGCCAUUCCGCGUGCAGGAUGAAGGCCCUCGGGUUGUAAACUGCUUUUGUACAGAACGAAAAGGUUUCUACUAAUACUAGGAGCUCAUGACGGUACUGUAAGAAUAAGCACCGGCUAACUACGUGCCAGCCGCCGCAGUAA
RNAcentral lists this ribosomal RNA (500 nucleotides) under uncultured bacterium. RNAcentral's name for it is "partial 16S ribosomal RNA". It matches the Rfam family "Bacterial small subunit ribosomal RNA", at positions 30 to 523 of the family's 1533-position model. The record is from RNAcentral.